GACGAACGCUGGCGGCGUGCUUAACACAUGCAAGUCGAACGGAAAGGCCCUUCGGGGUACUCGAGUGGCGAACGGGUGAGUAACACGUGGGUGAUCUGCCCUGCACUUUGGGAUAAGCCUGGGAAACUGGGUCUAAUACCGGAUAGGACUACGGCCUGCAUGGGUUGUGGUGGAAAGCUUUUGCGGUGUGGGAUGGGCCCGCGGCCUAUCAGCUUGUUGGUGGGGUGAUGGCCUACCAAGGCGACGACGGGUAGCCGGCCUGAGAGGGUGACCGGCCACACUGGGACUGAGAUACGGCCCAGACUCCGUACGGGAGGCAGCAGGUGGGGAAUAUUGCACAAGUGGGCGCAAGCCUGAUGCAGCGACGCCGCGGU
This 374-nucleotide ribosomal RNA is filed under the name uncultured bacterium. RNAcentral's name for it is "bacterial SSU rRNA". It matches the Rfam family "Bacterial small subunit ribosomal RNA", at positions 28 to 403 of the family's 1533-position model. The record is from RNAcentral.